UUUCUAAAAAGAUGGAUAUGGUCUCUUCUGUCAUGGGUCUUAACAUUCUGUGGGAGGAGACAAGCAGUAACUACAUACAAUGAGCACAACAAUUGAAGUGAUUAUGAGAAUUAAAGGGGUGGGCUAUUGGCAACUUCAGACACCAUGGUCAUCAAUGGCCUUUGAUUCGUAACACGAGCUGAGAUUCCUGUCUUCACAGAUCCCUGAGGAGAUGUCUACUAAAGGGAAUCUUCUGGCCACUGUUACCUUCUUCUGUACUUACCCUGCCUCAUGGAAAUGGAGUACUCCAGAGCAAUGUUCUCCACUUCUCCCACGGCAUCAUGACACCCCUAAAUCUCUCUUCUAA
RNAcentral lists this long non-coding RNA (346 nucleotides) under Papio anubis (olive baboon). RNAcentral describes it as "lncRNA (ENSPANG00000044779.1)". Lineage: Eukaryota; Metazoa; Chordata; Mammalia; Primates; Cercopithecidae. The record is from RNAcentral.